Molecule: ribosomal RNA, 245 nt
Filed under: uncultured Chryseobacterium sp.
Lineage: Bacteria; Pseudomonadati; Bacteroidota; Flavobacteriia; Flavobacteriales; Weeksellaceae
Description: partial 16S ribosomal RNA
Rfam family: Bacterial small subunit ribosomal RNA
Source: RNAcentral
UACGGAGGGUGCAAGCGUUAUCCGGAUUUAUUGGGUUUAAAGGGUCCGUAGGCGGACUCGUAAGUCAGUGGUGAAAUCUCAUAGCUUAACUAUGAAACUGCCAUUGAUACUGCGGGUCUUGAGUAAGGUAGAGGUAGCUGGAAUAAGUAGUGUAGCGGUGAAAUGCAUAGAUAUUACUUAGAACACCAAUUGCGAAGGCAGGUUACCAUGUCUUAACUGACGCUGAUGGACGAAAGCGUGGGGAG